Long non-coding RNA from Diceros bicornis minor, 837 nucleotides. RefSeq lists it as uncharacterized. NCBI's taxonomy places the organism in Eukaryota, Metazoa, Chordata, Mammalia, Perissodactyla, Rhinocerotidae. The transcript has 3 exons. The record is from RefSeq and is a predicted model, not a curated record.
GUCCGGCCUUAUCCAUCGCUUUCCGUCAGGAUGCGGCUCAGACUGGGGGCCCCACAGUCUGUCUCAUAGUGACCCACCUGCCAGGACCCCAGACAGGCCCAGGUCUGUUGGAAUCCCAGCAGAGAACACAGCUCAGCUUUGGGGCCGGCCCCCCAACCAGGCUACCCGGGACAAUGCCACAAGCCAAGAGUCAGAGGGUAAAUCUCUCAAACUAGUGGAGGGUCCCUAAGUCUUUGCAAUCUGUCAGGGAAAGCCUGGCACAAUUUCAGUUUGAAAAAUGUUCCUUCUCAGUUACUUUUUCCUCUAGAAAAUCCUUGUUAUCAAAGACACUCAAGAGAGCCUGGCUGGGCUGGCCCGAAGAUGCCGGAACCUGUUGAAGUACUCCACCUCCCCCCGCCGCCACCCCAGCCUGAAUCUCUUCAUCAAUCUGAAGUUGUCUGAUUCAUUAUGAAAAUAAUUUUAUGUCCCCGAACACAGUAGGUGCCAUGGAAGUCACAACCCCUCCAUCCACAUCCCUCCUGAGGUACACUCUCCUCACCUCAGGACCCCUGUCUGGACCCGCUGUUGUCCUCAAUCUCAGCCCAGCCACUGUGUCCCCCUCAGGUCGUCUAGUCUCCUGGGGUGGGGUGGGGGCAAGCCAGUGAUGAAGCUGCACUUCUGUCAGAGGGGCCGCCAGCCUUCUGGGUGCCUGUCGAUGAAGACUGAGGGGCUCAACACUUACACGGACACUCUCACCUUUAGUAUGAAGCCCCUGCUCUCAGCCGUGCCUGGAGGCCCCUGUCCCAGAGACCCAACAUUGCCAAAAAUAAAUGCCCAGUGGUCUGCUGGACGGGGGUG